GUCCUCGUAGCUCAGUGGAUAGAGCAACCGCCUCCUAAGCGGUAGGUCGCAGGUUCAACUCCCGCCGAGGACA
RNAcentral lists this transfer RNA (73 nucleotides) under Actinomycetes bacterium. Its description in RNAcentral is "tRNA-Arg". It matches the Rfam family "tRNA". Rfam says of the family: Transfer RNA (tRNA) molecules are approximately 80 nucleotides in length. Lineage: Bacteria; Bacillati; Actinomycetota; Actinomycetes. The record is from RNAcentral. RNAcentral also lists the same sequence under 3 other names.